Rhipicephalus sanguineus (brown dog tick) is the source of this 888-nucleotide long non-coding RNA. RefSeq lists it as uncharacterized. The record is from RefSeq and is a predicted model, not a curated record. NCBI's taxonomy places the organism in Eukaryota, Metazoa, Arthropoda, Arachnida, Ixodida, Ixodidae. The transcript has 3 exons.
GGCCGGGAGGAAGUACAGCGUACAGCAGCAGCCGGUAGCCAAGCAGGAACUGAUUUAUUUGGUGAGACAGCUUCUGAUGCGCUGGAUUGGUGUACAGGACCUAAAGAUACAGCAUCAGGACGAUUACGACAACAGUACAUCGUGGUGACGGCGCCAGGGCGCGAUUGGCGGAUUUGGUUUCUGGAAGAGCUACUUCUGCAGUGACGGCUACCACAUGUCAUCUACUGUGGAGACCUAAGGUUUCUGAAAGAGAAUCGCGAGGCUGGCCAAACCAAGUUGGGCUCUAGGAACUUGCCAUCCGCUAAACGUUCAACGUCGCUGCCUUUCCGACAUUCUGGUGACAUGGCUUGACUGCAUCUCAUCUGUUAUGCAGGGGUGAGACAGCUUCUGAUGUGCUGGACGGAUCUACAGGACAUUACAGCGUCAGGACAACUACGGCAACACCUACAUCGUGGUGACGGCGACAGGGCGCGAUUGGCAGAUUUGGCUUUUGGAAUAGCCACUUCUGAUGCGCUGGACGGGCGUACAAAACGUGCAGGUAUAGCGUCGGGACGAUUACAACACCUACGCCGUGGUGAUGGCGACAGGGCGCAAGUGGCACUCUUGGUUUUUGGAAGAGCUAAAUGGCUGGGCGUACAGGACGUGCAGAUACAGCGUCGGGACGACUACGACAACAGCCAUAUCGUGGCGACGGCGACAGGGUGCGAUUGGGAGAUCUGGUUUCCGGAAGAGCUUCUUCUCCAGCGAUGACUGGGUGUACAGGACGUUCAGAUACAGCGUCGGGACGAUUACGACACCACCAUCAUGGUGACGGCGACAGGGCACGAUUGGCAGAUUUGGUUUCUGGAAGAGCUACUUCUGAUGCGCUGGACGGGUGUACAGGAUGUG